Molecule: long non-coding RNA, 203 nt
Filed under: Elaeis guineensis (African oil palm)
Lineage: Eukaryota; Viridiplantae; Streptophyta; Magnoliopsida; Arecales; Arecaceae
Description: long non-coding RNA (EGUI_LNC007245)
Source: RNAcentral
UAAUUCAUAUUUUUUUAUUUUUCAGACAUAAAAUCUGAGCAAAAUCAAGCCAAAAUAUCUAAAAAUUCAUUUAAAAUAGCCUUCGGUGCACAGAGGACCGGCCGCUUGGUCCACAGAAUUAGGGGUGCGGUUCAUAGAAACAGUUCGCGAUCUUUGACGUGGUUCACAGGUAGGUGGAAGAGUUUUGUGCGAUCAGACGGUCA